This 270-nucleotide unclassified non-coding RNA is filed under the name air metagenome. RNAcentral describes it as "partial contains small subunit ribosomal RNA, internal transcribed spacer 1, and 5.8S ribosomal RNA". The stretch from base 1 to 46 matches the Rfam family "Eukaryotic small subunit ribosomal RNA", at positions 1786 to 1831 of the family's 1831-position model. The record is from RNAcentral.
AAGUCGUAACAAGGUUUCCGUAGGUGAACCUGCGGAAGGAUCAUUAUCGAGUUUUGAAGUGGGUCUUUGAGCUGGCUUUCAUCGGCAUCGUGCUCGGGCCCCGCUCCAAUCCACUCAACCCCUGUGCACUCUCGGAGUGGCGGGUACUGUGAAGUGCCGGUCGCUUCGUCUCUUAUCACAAACUUAUUAUAAUUAUGUCUUGUCGAACGUGGAUGCCUGUAAAAGGGCGGAAACUCAAUACAACUUUCAACAACGGAUCUCUUGGCUCUC